UAGAGGAAGAAAAGGUCAGCAUCAUAACCAUAUCACGCAUCAAAGAUCCAAGAAAGGAGUUUUGCCAGUAUAAAGUUGGGGAUUUGGUGAAAGCCAGCUGCCAUGGCUUUUCUGGCGUGCAUCCCGCCAAGAUCUUAGAUGAUGGAGCUGAUGCCUGGUAGUGGGAUCUACAUUUAUCCCAAAGAUAUACAAGCUUUAUAUAAGCCAAAAAAAACAACAAACAACAAGUGGAACUUUUCAGGAGGGGGAACCUAACUGGUGCAAAUGAAAAGACCAUUUUAAACACUAUUCUUGAUGAUGCCGGGAUUCAGAGGCCAUUGUCAAGUUUUCGAUGAGGACCAAGAUUAGUUCCCAAGUCAGCCUCCAGAACAUGAAACAGACCUAGCUUUUAUACAUUCAGUAAUGUGAUAUAUAUAUAUAUAUAUAUAUAUAUAUAUAUAUAUAUAUAUGGGAUUCCCUUCAUAAGGGAUUGUCCAAUUUUUAAUGUGAUAAUAUGUACAAAGAGUUAGUGAUGAAUAUUUUAUUUAUAUUUUUGUGCCAAACUUUAUAAAUGAUUGAUUGUUUGAUGUUUUCUGCCACGCUCAACAAUUUUUCAGUUAUCUGGUGGCACCCAGUUUUUAUUGGUGGAAGAGAGAACCCAGAUACAAUGUACCUUGGAAGAGACCACCGACCUUCCGAAAGUAAACUGGGAAACUUUCUCACUUACCGGCGCGAGCGGGAUUCGAACCCGCGCCGACAGAGGUGAGAGGCCAUGUGAUUUGGAGUGCGAUGCUCUAACCACUCGGCCACCUUUAUAAAUGAAAUUAAUAUACCAAUAAUAGUCGCUGUUUACAAUCGGUAAUGUCUUAUUAUCCCCAUCUUUUUUGUAACUUUUCCAUAACUUUUGUCGGGUAUAACUUUUUUGUAACUUUUCCAUAACUUUUGUCGGGUAUAACUUUUUUGUAACUUUUCCAUAACAUUUGUCGGGUAUAACUUUUAUGUAACUUUCUCCAUAACUUUUGUUGGGUAUAACUUUUUUGUAACUUUUCGAUAACUUUUGUCGGGUAUAACUUUUUUGUAACUUUUCCAUAACUUUUGUCGGGUAUAACUUUUAUGUAACUUUCUCCAUAACUUUUGUUGGGUAUAACUUUUUUGUAACUUUUCCAUAACUUUUGUCAGGUAUAACUUUUUUGUAACUUUUCCAUAAAUUUUGUCAGGUAUAACUUUUUUGUAACUUUUCCAUAACUUAAGUAUAACUUUUUGAUAACUUUUGUGAAGUAUAACUUUUUUGAAGUAUAACUUUUUGAUAACUUUGAUGCACUUGUUGUAUUCAUGUUGAAAUAAAAGAUGAUAACUUAUACAUGAGUAUAACUUUUUUGUACCCGAGUUAUAAGUAAAGUAUAACUUUAUUUGAAGAAGUGGUUCCAAACUCCGAUAACUUAGUUAUAACUUUUUUGUAACUUUUCUUAGUUACAAAGUUAUAACUUAGUUAUAGUUUUUUUCGGUAUGG
Long non-coding RNA from Ostrea edulis (European flat oyster), 1489 nucleotides. RefSeq lists it as uncharacterized. The transcript is spliced from 3 exons. The record is from RefSeq and is a predicted model, not a curated record. Lineage: Eukaryota; Metazoa; Mollusca; Bivalvia; Ostreida; Ostreidae.